GUUCAGGCAUUUUUGCAUUGCUUUUUCUUCUUCUUUUCUUUUCUUCCUUUCUUUCUCUUUGUUUUUUUUUUUGCAGGAUCGACCUCGAUUCCUCUUUCGNUUUUUUUUUGCAGGAUCGACCUCGAUUCCUCUUUCGUUUACAAUAAGCCUCGGCAACUUACCGGACAGCACUCCACAAGUGCACUAAUUCAGAUUCAACCUCAGUCUGAG
This 210-nucleotide long non-coding RNA is filed under the name Lathyrus oleraceus (garden pea). Its description in RNAcentral is "Pisum sativum (pea) long non-coding RNA (PSAT_LNC012133)". The record is from RNAcentral. Lineage: Eukaryota; Viridiplantae; Streptophyta; Magnoliopsida; Fabales; Fabaceae.